AGAGGGAUAGCUGAGUCAAAUGGUGGUUCCAUUCCCAGAUUUCCAAGGAAUCUCCAUACUGUUUUCCAAAUUUGCUUCACCAAUUUGCAGUCCCACCAGCAGU
Molecule: microRNA precursor, 103 nt
Filed under: Marmota monax (woodchuck)
Lineage: Eukaryota; Metazoa; Chordata; Mammalia; Rodentia; Sciuridae
Source: RNAcentral